GCCCUGGUGGUGGAAUUGGUAGACACAAGGGAUUUAAAAUCCCUCGACGUUCGCGUUGUGCCGGUUCAAGUCCGGUACUCGGGGCACCA
RNAcentral lists this transfer RNA (89 nucleotides) under Vibrio harveyi. RNAcentral describes it as "tRNA-Leu". It matches the Rfam family "tRNA". Rfam says of the family: Transfer RNA (tRNA) molecules are approximately 80 nucleotides in length. Their secondary structure includes four short double-helical elements and three loops (D, anti-codon, and T loops). Lineage: Bacteria; Pseudomonadati; Pseudomonadota; Gammaproteobacteria; Vibrionales; Vibrionaceae. The record is from RNAcentral.